AUUGAACGCUGGCGGCAGGCUUAACACAUGCAAGUCGAACAGGUGUAGCAAUACAUCAGUGGCAGACGGGUGAGUAACACGUGGGAACCUUCCUAGGGGUACGGAACAACUCAGGGAAACUUGAGCUAAUACCGUAUACGUCCGUGAGGAGAAAGAUUUAUCGCCCUUAGACGGGCCCGCGUCGGAUUAGCUAGUUGGUGGGGUAACGGCCUACCAAGUCGACGAUCCGUAGCUGAUCUUAGAGGAUGAUCAGCCACACUGGGACUGAGACACGGCCCAGACUCCUGCGGGAGGCAGCAGUGGGGAAUCUUGGACAAUGGGCGCAAGCCUGAUCCAGCCAUGCCGCGUGAGUGAAGAAGGUCUUCGGAUUGUAAAGCUCUUUUGCCAGGGACGAUAAUGACGGUACCUGGAGAAUAAGCCCCGGCAAACUUCGUGCCAGCCGCCGCCGUAA
RNAcentral lists this ribosomal RNA (451 nucleotides) under uncultured bacterium. Its description in RNAcentral is "partial 16S ribosomal RNA". It matches the Rfam family "Bacterial small subunit ribosomal RNA", at positions 30 to 523 of the family's 1533-position model. The record is from RNAcentral.